GACGAACGCUGGCGGCGUGCUUAACACAUGCAAGUCGAACGGAAAGGCCCUGCUUUUGUGGGGUGCUCGAGUGGCGAACGGGUGAGUAACACGUGAGUAACCUGCCCUUGACUUUGGGAUAACUUCAGGAAACUGGGGCUACUACCGGAUAGGAGCUCCUGCUGCAUGGUGGGGGUUGGAAAGUUUCGGCGGUUGGGGAUGGACUCGCGGCUUAUCAGCUUGUUGGUGGGGUAGUGGCUUACCAAGUCUUUGACGGGUAGCCGGCCUGAGAGGGUGACCGGCCACAUUGGGACUGAGAUACGGCCCAGACUCCUACGGGAGGCAGCAGUGGGGAAUAUUGCACAAUGGGCGGAAGCCUGAUGCAGCAACGCCGCGUGCGGGAUGACGGCCUUCGGGUUGUAAACCGCUUUCGCCUGUGACGAAGCGUGAGUGACGGUAAUGGGUAAAGAAGCACCGGCUAACUACGUG
This 468-nucleotide ribosomal RNA is filed under the name uncultured bacterium. Its description in RNAcentral is "partial 16S ribosomal RNA". It matches the Rfam family "Bacterial small subunit ribosomal RNA", at positions 28 to 507 of the family's 1533-position model. The record is from RNAcentral.